AAUUAUCCUUGUCGCUUCCUACGCUGAACCAGGGCUAUGAUAGCCAGAAACUUGUGCGUGCUCCUCGAGGACUGUGAUAGGCAAAGUCCUCUGCGUUGUACUAGGCCAGAAACGCAGAAUCCUCAGGAGUCUCUGUGGAGCCACGGCCCAAGAGCUGAACACAGGUGUCAACCCAGCUGAAGGAGUCCUGAAGAGCCAGUGACUGAUCUGGAUAGUAUCUGUCACCUGUGACCAGGGUCUUGGAGUGAGGGGAAGAGAGGCACAACAACACAGGCAGCCAUGUCCCACACCAUUUUGGAACGGCCACUUUCCUUGGGGCUGUGACAGUCUAGAGGAGGAGACAGCUAUUGCCAAGGCACAGGGCCUUGCUUUAAGAUUUACCUGGCUGCUGGGAGUAAGAGGGGCAUAGGAGGCUGGCUAGGGAUCUACCGUGUCCUUUGAGGAGCAGCAAGCUUUGCAUCACUUCAAAGCCCUGAUGAAGGUGCGUGUUUGGUGCAGAAAUCUCGGAAGAAAUACAAGGAGACACAGAAUUCGGAUAAAAUAAUAAAAUUUCUUCUUGCAAGCGGGCAGGAAUGCCAGAAACAGAAAAGUCACCAAGUCAUUCUGCCCCAGCAUCUACACUCAAAAUGGAGAAAACUGCUACUUUACAAAAGGAACCACUCAGUAAAGCACAGUCUAAAAGCCACUGUCUGUGCCAUGAGGAUUCUAGUGGGCAGGAUGCAGCUUCAAAGCCACUGUUCUAUACCAUGGGGAGUCACUCUGGGCAGGGCACAGACUGCUCACCACAGGAGGCCAUGCACAGUUCACCCUCCUCUGAUCACCACGUGGACAAGCCCAGGCCAGCCUGCUGGAUGAUGAAGGAUUCAUGACCCAGCCAUCUUCGCCACUUCAAACAACAGGCAGAAGCAGAGUUCCUACCUGAUCUACAGCUGAGGUCGAGACCAUUGGAGUGGAGCUGGGCACAGUGUAGACUGAAGAAGUGACAAAGCAGGAAGGCCUGUGCAAAAACCUGAGACCAGAGCCAACCCGGUCAGGCCUGCCCCUCCCUGCCCCAAGUCCAG
RNAcentral lists this long non-coding RNA (1061 nucleotides) under Heterocephalus glaber (naked mole-rat). Its description in RNAcentral is "lncRNA (ENSHGLG00000036710.1)". The record is from RNAcentral. Lineage: Eukaryota; Metazoa; Chordata; Mammalia; Rodentia; Bathyergidae.